RNAcentral lists this ribosomal RNA (373 nucleotides) under Phareicranaus calcariferus. RNAcentral describes it as "partial small subunit ribosomal RNA". Lineage: Eukaryota; Metazoa; Arthropoda; Arachnida; Opiliones; Cranaidae. The record is from RNAcentral.
GAUACCCUAGUAUGAAAUAUUAUUAUUGAUUAGUAUGUUUUGAAAUUUAAAAAUUUUGGCGGUUAAUUUUGGAAUUAGAGGAGCUUGCUGAUUUAGAAAUCACUCUUUGUAUCUUAUUAAUUUAAUGUUUAUUCAUCUCCGUUAUUAGAGUUAUUUAAGUUGAAAAAAUUUAAGGUUAUUAUUUCAGGUCAAGAUGUAGCUUGAAUUAAUUAAUGUUAGCUACAUUUAUAAAAUAGUUGGAAAUAUAGAAGAAUAAUAGUAUAAAAAAUGAAUUUGAUUGUAAUGUUAAUUAAAAUGUUAAUAUGAAAUUAAGUAUUAAUGUACAGAUUGCCCGUCACUUCUUUUGAAAAAUAGAAUAAGUCGUAACAAAGUA